Molecule: long non-coding RNA, 532 nt
Filed under: Nicotiana benthamiana
Lineage: Eukaryota; Viridiplantae; Streptophyta; Magnoliopsida; Solanales; Solanaceae
Description: long non-coding RNA (NBEN_LNC023939)
Source: RNAcentral
CAGUGUUUUGGAGAGCGCAAAGCGCAAAAAAGCAACAAGGGCUCGCCUCGCUUCAAAGCGCAAAGCGCAAAGAAGCGCACGCUUUUUUGAAGUGAAGCGCAAUUUUUAAAAAACAUAAUGUAAAAUUAUAAAUAAUCAAAAAAAUCAAUUUAAAUACUUAAAAGUAGGUACUAGGUACCACCAAAUCAUCUACAAACCAUUCAUAAACCAUAAGACAAGCGAAAUCAAAGCUACUAAAUUACUAGAAGUCAAUCAACAUCUUAUUCUUCUAUGUCUGCUUCUCCUUCAAGAUUGUCAAAAUCUUGAAUUCCUCGGUUAUCUUUAUAUUGCUCGUCAUCUUCUUCUUCCCCCUUCUCUUCAUAAUCAUUCUCAUCUUCAUCAAUGGAUCGACUUGUAGUAACCACACUUUUUCCCUUACUAAUAGAACUUGAAUUUGGAGUACAACUCCUUAAACUAUAAGGAUCCUCCCCAACUCCACUAGCAACCGCAACAUCACCCCAAGUUAAAUCGGGGUCGCCUUCAAAUACUUCUU